UGUCCUCAGAAUUUGUGUGCCAGAUCUCCUUUAGCUUUACAAUGCUUAAAGUUCAUUUGUUGUUGUGUGAGUCAAUCUAGAAAAUAUGAUCAAAAAUAAUUUCAUGGUACUUAUUAAAAUAAAGUUGUACUUGAAAAUAUAUUGUUUUUACUUCUAUGAUUUCUCUCAAACGUCAAUACUUUUUCUUUAUCCAUAAAAGAGAAUUGUACAAUGGUCAUUAGUGCCACCGUUAA
This 233-nucleotide long non-coding RNA is filed under the name Medicago truncatula (barrel medic). Its description in RNAcentral is "lncRNA gene10652". Lineage: Eukaryota; Viridiplantae; Streptophyta; Magnoliopsida; Fabales; Fabaceae. The record is from RNAcentral.